Molecule: long non-coding RNA, 799 nt
Organism: Strongylocentrotus purpuratus (purple sea urchin)
Lineage: Eukaryota; Metazoa; Echinodermata; Echinoidea; Camarodonta; Strongylocentrotidae
Exons: 3
Source: RefSeq, a predicted model, not a curated record
GAUUGAAACUUAUGAAGAGCUUGAAGGAGUUAACUGAUGAGUAGACAUUACAACAUUUCUUAUAUUUGCAAGAUGAAGCUGAAAUUCCCAUGCAGGAUGAUGCUUCUCUACAGUGGAGGAUGAAGGCAUGCUGAUUACAAACCCAGCAGAGGAACAAAGAACAGAUAUUGGCAGAAUCACUAUAUCUAGAGAUGCGGGCCUACUACACUUCAUACGAGCAAGUGUGCUAAUAUACAAUACUUGGGUUAUCGUUACAGCCCUUUCUUCUGAAAACUAGGCUACAACUUUAUUGAUGAAUGCAAGAGACAUCUACAUGGGACUACGUCUUGAAGAUGCCACCCUCAUAUAAUGAAAGAGGACAGUAGAGAUGGGUUUAAACUUGAAUAUUUACAUGAUAUUUAUUUAUUAUUUGUAUUAUAUGUUUGUAGAAUACCACAUUCAAUAAAGCUAAUGAAUUUAUCAUCAUGUCAACUUUCAAAUGAUCAAAGAUAACUAAUCAUCAAUGAAUAAACAUUAACAUUUUAAUAAUGUCAACUACCAUCUUAUGGGAGGACUGGGCCGAAAGAUUCUCCUUGAAAUUUGAGUGAUAAAGAUCUACCAGUCUAUAUCAAAGAUUGAAUAAUUAAUGAUAUUUUAAUUAUAAUUAUACAUGUUGAAAUUCAUUUACCUCUAUGGACUUCUGUAUUUUAGAGGAUUUGUAGAGUAUUACAUUAUUGCAGUAUAAUGCUGCUUCAAGUAUUGUAUGUAAGAAGGUUUGAAAGUCAACCCUCUAAAUGCAUUAAAUAUAGAAAGACAUAGA